This 656-nucleotide ribosomal RNA is filed under the name Salmonella enterica. RNAcentral describes it as "partial 23S ribosomal RNA". It matches the Rfam family "Bacterial large subunit ribosomal RNA", at positions 1 to 688 of the family's 2925-position model. The record is from RNAcentral. Lineage: Bacteria; Pseudomonadati; Pseudomonadota; Gammaproteobacteria; Enterobacterales; Enterobacteriaceae. RNAcentral also lists the same sequence under 3 other names.
GGGUUGUGAGGUUAAGCGACUAAGCGUACACGGUGGAUGCCCUGGCAGUCAGAGGCGAUGAAGGACGUGCUAAUCUGCGAUAAGCGCCGGUAAGGUGAUAUGAACCGUUAUAACCGGCGAUUUCCGAAUGGGGAAACCCAGUGUGAUUCGUCACACUAUCAUUAACUGAAUCCAUAGGUUAAUGAGGCGAACCGGGGGAACUGAAACAUCUAAGUACCCCGAGGAAAAGAAAUCAACCGAGAUUCCCCCAGUAGCGGCGAGCGAACGGGGAGGAGCCCAGAGCCUGAAUCAGCAUGUGUGUUAGUGGAAGCGUCUGGAAAGGCGCGCGAUACAGGGUGACAGCCCCGUACACAAAAGCGCAUGUGCUGUGAGCUCGAUGAGUAGGGCGGGACACGUGGUAUCCUGUCUGAAUAUGGGGGGACCAUCCUCCAAGGCUAAAUACUCCUGACUGACCGAUAGUGAACCAGUACCGUGAGGGAAAGGCGAAAAGAACCCCGGCGAGGGGAGUGAAAAAGAACCUGAAACCGUGUACGUACAAGCAGUGGGAGCACAGGUUUACCUGUGUGACUGCGUACCUUUUGUAUAAUGGGUCAGCGACUUAUAUUCUGUAGCAAGGUUAACCGAAUAGGGGAGCCGGAGGGAAACCGAGUCUUAAU